This is a long non-coding RNA of Mauremys reevesii (Reeves's turtle), 453 nucleotides long. RefSeq lists it as uncharacterized. The record is from RefSeq and is a predicted model, not a curated record. The transcript is spliced from 3 exons. Lineage: Eukaryota; Metazoa; Chordata; Testudines; Geoemydidae.
GCUGAUACUCCUGUAGUGCAGUAGGUCAAGGUUCUGAGGCCUGAGUCUGGCCUAAACCGUCUUGCUCAGUAUUGAUGAUCAUCUUCUGGACCUCCUCUUGUGAGCUAGCUUGUCAUCUGCUACAAUAUCUGAAAAGUGAAAGAAAACCUGGGUAACAGAUCUGGCAAGACAGCCAGGAGUGGUGGAGAGGAAGGAGAAGAUCGGUACAAGGACAGGGAAUCAGAAGAACAUGAAGCUUUGGAGGGCGCUAAGGAAGAAAAAGAGUCAGGUGCUCUAGGCUCAAGAUCUAACUGCUCAAGACAACAUCCUCAAGCAGAUGUCACAAUUAGCAACACAAUAAUCUUAAGUGCAGGGCCUAGAGCUUGCAUACAGCUCAUCACUGACAUCUUCCAUUACUGAAGCAGCUGGACCACUUCACACUAAUAUUCAAUGCAAAAAUAAAUGCACACUCAC